AUGUUCCACUUCUUAUGCAGUAGGUUGGCCGACACCAUGGAUGAGCAGAGCACAGCCGGCGAGAUACCUGCGGAGGUCAGUGUCGGAGGAGACGACGAUGAGGAAGUGGAGGUGGUGGGAGUGGGAAGUACGGCUGCUGGAUCAAUAAAGGGUGGAGGUAGGAGAGGCGUUGUGGCACUGAUGGCGCCGGCGGCGUACUUGUGGUGGCUGGGAACAAAGGAGAUGGGGAGGAGUGGAGGGGAUGACGAGGAGCAACGGGAGGUGGCUGUGAUGGGAGUGCUAACUGCGGUGUUAGAGGAGAACGCAGGAGAGGCGUCUGCAGAUGGACGACUUCGACGGCGUGCUUGCCGAGGUCGGCGUUGGAGGAGACGGGAAAGGGUAGAGAGGACGUUGAGGUGGAGGUGCGUCAUGGUGGUGGGCGGUGGGGCUGAGAAGCAUGAGAGGCGCAGGAGGUGGACGGCGCCAGCAGCAGCCGCCUCGCGCCGCUGCCAGAUCGAUUUAAGUGAUGUCCAUCGGUGA
This 519-nucleotide ribosomal RNA is filed under the name Triticum aestivum (bread wheat). Its description in RNAcentral is "partial small subunit ribosomal RNA". The record is from RNAcentral. Lineage: Eukaryota; Viridiplantae; Streptophyta; Magnoliopsida; Poales; Poaceae.